This 371-nucleotide unclassified non-coding RNA is filed under the name uncultured fungus. RNAcentral describes it as "partial contains small subunit ribosomal RNA, internal transcribed spacer 1, and 5.8S ribosomal RNA". The stretch from base 1 to 73 matches the Rfam family "Eukaryotic small subunit ribosomal RNA", at positions 1759 to 1831 of the family's 1831-position model. The record is from RNAcentral. Lineage: Eukaryota; Fungi.
UCAAACUUGGUCAUUUAGAGGAAGUAAAAGUCGUAACAAGGUUUCCGUAGGUGAACCUGCGGAAGGAUCAUUAAUGAGUAAACUUGGUUUAGACUGUUGCUGGCCUGUCUUUGAGGGGCAUGUGCACGCCUAUUCCAGCUUUCAUAACCACCUGUGCACCUUGUGUAGAUUUGAAUGAACUCUCGAGAUUUCAACUCGGUUUAAAGGAUUGCCGUGUGUAAUGCCAGCUUUCUUUUAAUCUUUUAAAUCUAUGUUUUAUUAUACCCCAAAUUAAAGUAUUUGAAUGCAAUCACCAAGGCACCUUGCCUGUAAACAUAUAUACAACUUUCAACAACGGAUCUCUUGGCUCUCGCAUCGAUGAAGAACGCAGC